GCAUGAAGGCCACUCCAAAAGAGUAGCCAUGUGAGACACCAUGCAAAAGUAAAAGUCUUCCUUUAAGAUGGCUGAUAUGCUAUAUUUUAUGGUAUAUCAUUAUUAAAAGUGAGUACAAAU
Small nucleolar RNA from Mastomys coucha (southern multimammate mouse), 120 nucleotides. RefSeq annotates it as small nucleolar RNA SNORA15. The record is from RefSeq and is a predicted model, not a curated record. Lineage: Eukaryota; Metazoa; Chordata; Mammalia; Rodentia; Muridae. The transcript has a single exon.